CUACGGGGCGCUCCAGUGGGGAAUAUUGCACAAUGGAGGAAACUCUGAUGCAGCGACGCCGCGUGAGUGAAGAAGUAUUUCGGUAUGUAAAGCUCUAUCAGCAGGGAAGAUAGUGACGGUACCUGAUUAAGAAGCACCGGCUAAAUACGUGCCAGCAGCCGCGGUAAUACGUAUGGUGCAAGCGUUAUCCGGAUUUACUGGGUGUAAAGGGAGUGUAGGUGGCAUGGCAAGUCAGAAGUGAAAGCCCAGGGCUCAACCCUGGGACUGCUUUUGAAACUGCCGAGCUAGAGUGCAGGAGAGGUAAGUGGAAUUCCUAGUGUAGCGGUGAAAUGCGUAGAUAUUAGGAGGAACACCAGCGGCGAAGGCGGCUUACUGGACUGUAACUGACACUGAGGCUCGAAAGCGUGGGGAGCAAACAGGAUUAGAUACCCCCGUAGUC
RNAcentral lists this ribosomal RNA (439 nucleotides) under uncultured bacterium. RNAcentral's name for it is "partial 16S ribosomal RNA". It matches the Rfam family "Bacterial small subunit ribosomal RNA", at positions 339 to 795 of the family's 1533-position model. The record is from RNAcentral.